AUUGAACGCUGGCGGUAUGCUUAAGACAUGCAAGUCGAACGGAAUCUUCGGAUUCGGUGGCGGACGGGUGAGUAACACGUGGGAAUCUACUGAGUAGUGGGGGACAGCCCGGCGAAAGCCGGAUUAAUACCGCAUACGCCUACGGGGAAAGGCGCAAGCCGCUAUUUAAUGAGCCCGCGUAAGAUUAGCUAGUUGGUGAGGUAAAGGCCCACCAAGGCAACGAUCUUUAGCUGGUCUGAGAGGAUGGCCAGCCACAUCGGGACUGAGACACGGCCCGGACUCCUACGGGAGGCAGCAGUCGGGAAUAUUGGACAAUGGGCGCAAGCCUGAUCCAGCAAUACCGCGUGUGUGAAGAAGGCCUGCGGGUUGUAAAGCACUUUCAGUUGGGAAGAUAAUGACGUUACCAACAGAAGAAGCACCGGCUAACUCCGUGCCAGCAGCCGCGGUAAAGUCUGUACU
This 459-nucleotide ribosomal RNA is filed under the name uncultured bacterium. RNAcentral's name for it is "bacterial SSU rRNA". It matches the Rfam family "Bacterial small subunit ribosomal RNA", at positions 30 to 531 of the family's 1533-position model. The record is from RNAcentral.